UACGUAGGGUGCGAGCGUUAAUCGGAAUUACUGGGCGUAAAGCGUGCGCAGGCGGUUAUAUAAGACAGAGGUGAAAUCCCCGGGCUCAACCUGGGAACUGCCUUUGUGACUGUAUAGCUUGAGUGCGGCAGAGGGGGAUGGAAUUCCCGGUGUAGCAGUGAAAUGCGUAGAUAUCGGGAGGAAUACCGAUGGCGAAGGCAGGUCUCUGGGCUGACACUGACGCUCAUGCACGAAAGCGUGGGGAGCAAACAGG
This 253-nucleotide ribosomal RNA is filed under the name uncultured bacterium. RNAcentral describes it as "partial 16S ribosomal RNA". It matches the Rfam family "Bacterial small subunit ribosomal RNA", at positions 524 to 776 of the family's 1533-position model. The record is from RNAcentral.